AUGCGCUGCUUCUAAUCGUCCACUUAGGACAAUUAUUGACCAUUUGACCUCAAAUCAGGUAGGACUACCCGCUGAACUUAAGCAUAUCAAUAAGCGGAGG
RNAcentral lists this ribosomal RNA (100 nucleotides) under Gymnopilus sp. Spooner 290. Its description in RNAcentral is "partial 28S ribosomal RNA". The stretch from base 45 to 100 matches the Rfam family "Eukaryotic large subunit ribosomal RNA", at positions 1 to 56 of the family's 3401-position model. The record is from RNAcentral. Lineage: Eukaryota; Fungi; Basidiomycota; Agaricomycetes; Agaricales; Galerinaceae.